AGGCUUAUAGCUCAGUGGAUAGAGCACCAGAUUCCGAUUCUGGGAGGGGAGGGUUCGAGUCCCUCUAAGCCUU
RNAcentral lists this transfer RNA (73 nucleotides) under Phaeocystis globosa. RNAcentral's name for it is "tRNA-Arg". It matches the Rfam family "tRNA". Rfam says of the family: Transfer RNA (tRNA) molecules are approximately 80 nucleotides in length. Their secondary structure includes four short double-helical elements and three loops (D, anti-codon, and T loops). The record is from RNAcentral. Lineage: Eukaryota; Haptophyta; Phaeocystales; Phaeocystaceae.